CCUUCGGGAGCUGACGAGUGGCGGACGGGUGAGUAACGCGUAGGAAUCUGCCUGGUAGUGGGGGACAACUUAGGGAAACUUAAGCUAAUACCGCAUACGCUCCUUAUUGAAAGAUGGGGAGGAAAGCGGGGGACCUUCGGGCCUCGCGCUAUCAGAUGAGCCUGCGUUAGAUUAGCUAGUUGGUGGGGUAAAGGCCUACCAGGGCGACGAUCUAUAGCUGGUCUGAGAGGACGAUCAGCCACACUGGGACUGAGACACGGCCCAGACUCCUACGGGAGGCAGCAGUGGGGAAUAUUGGACAAUGGGCGCAAGCCUGAUCCAGCAAUACCGCGUGUGUGAAGAAGGCCUUAGGGUUGUAAAGCACUUUCAAUGGGGAGGAAAACCUGCCGGUCAAUACCCGGUAGCUUGACAUUACCUGUAGAAGAAGCACCGGCUAACUCCGUGCCAGCAGCCGCGGUAAUACGGAGGGUGCGAGCGUUAAUCGGAAUUACUGGGCGUAAAGCGUGCGUAGGCGGUUAAUUAAGUCAGAUGUGAAAGCCCCGGGCUUAACCUGGGAACGGCAUUUGAUACUGGUUAACUAGAGUUUAGUAGAGGGGAGUGGAAUUUCAGGUGUAGCGGUGAAAUGCGUAGAUAUCUGAAGGAACACCAGUGGCGAAGGCGACUCCCUGGACUAGAACUGACGCUGAGGUACGAAAGCGUGGGUAGCAAACAGGAUUAGAUACCCUGGUAGUCCACGCCGUAAACGAUGUCAACUAGCCGUUGGUCCUAUUUACAGGAUUAGUGGCGCAGCUAACGCAUUAAGUUGACCGCCUGGGGAGUACGGCCGCAAGGUUAAAACUCAAAUGAAUUGACGGGGGCCCGCACAAGCGGUGGAGCAUGUGGUUUAAUUCGAUGCAACGCGAAGAACCUUACCUACCCUUGACAUCCAGAGAAUCA
Molecule: ribosomal RNA, 936 nt
Filed under: uncultured Methylobacter sp.
Lineage: Bacteria; Pseudomonadati; Pseudomonadota; Gammaproteobacteria; Methylococcales; Methylococcaceae
Description: bacterial SSU rRNA
Rfam family: Bacterial small subunit ribosomal RNA
Source: RNAcentral